Molecule: transfer RNA, 76 nt
Filed under: Verrucomicrobiota bacterium
Lineage: Bacteria; Pseudomonadati; Verrucomicrobiota
Also listed under: 2 other names
Description: Verrucomicrobia bacterium (groundwater metagenome) tRNA-Ala
Rfam family: tRNA
About the family: Transfer RNA (tRNA) molecules are approximately 80 nucleotides in length. Their secondary structure includes four short double-helical elements and three loops (D, anti-codon, and T loops).
Source: RNAcentral
GGGGCUGUAGCUCAGUUGGUAGAGCGGUAGCUUUGCAAGCUAUAGGUCGGGAGUUCGAAUCUCCUCAGCUCCACCA